UACGUAGGUGGCAAGCGUUGUCCGGAUUUACUGGGCGUAAAGCGUGCGCAGGCGGCGCCGCAAGUCAGGCGUGAAAUCCCCGAGCUUAACUUGGGAAUGGCGCUUGAAACUACGGUGCUGGAGUGUGGCAGAGGGAGGUGGAAUUCCACGUGUAGCGGUGAAAUGCGUAGAGAUGUGGAGGAACACCGAUGGCGAAGGCAGCCUCCUGGGCCAACACUGACGCUCAUGCACGAAAGCGUGGGGAGCAAACAGG
RNAcentral lists this ribosomal RNA (253 nucleotides) under uncultured bacterium. RNAcentral describes it as "partial 16S ribosomal RNA". It matches the Rfam family "Bacterial small subunit ribosomal RNA", at positions 524 to 776 of the family's 1533-position model. The record is from RNAcentral.